This 253-nucleotide ribosomal RNA is filed under the name uncultured bacterium. Its description in RNAcentral is "partial 16S ribosomal RNA". It matches the Rfam family "Bacterial small subunit ribosomal RNA", at positions 524 to 776 of the family's 1533-position model. The record is from RNAcentral.
UACGUAGGGUGCAAGCGUUGUCCGGAAUUAUUGGGCGUAAAGAGCUCGUAGGCGGUUUGUCACGUCUGCUGUGAAAACUCGGGGCUUAACUCCGGGCCUGCAGUGGGUACGGGCAGACUAGAGUGCGGUAGGGGAGACUGGAAUUCCUGGUGUAGCGGCGAAAUGCGCAGAUAUCAGGAGGAACACCGGUGGCGAAGGCGGGUCUCUGGGCCGUAACUGACGCUGAGGAGCGAAAGCGUGGGGAGCAAACAGG